This is a long non-coding RNA of Salarias fasciatus (jewelled blenny), 303 nucleotides long. RefSeq lists it as uncharacterized. The record is from RefSeq and is a predicted model, not a curated record. The transcript has 3 exons. NCBI's taxonomy places the organism in Eukaryota, Metazoa, Chordata, Actinopteri, Blenniiformes, Blenniidae.
GCCACUCCUUUCUUCAUGGAGGACCGUGUCUGUCUGGACUCAGCCCUGCUGUUGUUCAUGUCCUGCUUGGUGGGAGUCCUGAGACUGCAACUGUUACACCAGAAGACUGUCCAGACUUGGACAUAAGAGAAACUAUCAAACUUCUUGAAGGGAACUCCUCUCUGUCAGAGAAGGAUAAACAGCGUGUCCAGGAGUUGGUCCUUGCCUGGGACCUCCCUCCCCUAACCGAGAACAACAGGAGAUGGCUUUUUGAGAAGCUGUUAAUCCAUGCUGUGAUAGGACGUGUCAUGAGGCAAAUCAAGC